Daktulosphaira vitifoliae (grape phylloxera) is the source of this 1459-nucleotide long non-coding RNA. RefSeq lists it as uncharacterized. The transcript has 4 exons. The record is from RefSeq and is a predicted model, not a curated record. NCBI's taxonomy places the organism in Eukaryota, Metazoa, Arthropoda, Insecta, Hemiptera, Phylloxeridae.
UUCUAAUUAUCUUUUGUUGUUUAAAAAGAUUUUACAAUUGAAAUAUGCAAAACUGAAUUAAUUUUAAUAAUUUACUUUAACUAAAAAAAUCAAUAAAAAAAAAAUUGUUAAAAAGAUUUACUCAAAUGAGCGUGUUAUAAAAUUUUAUUAUGAUUGUAAAAAUCGAUUGUUAAAUUCAGGUGAAACUAAAAAUCAUUUCUUUUUUUAGAUUUAUGAUUAAUAUAGCAACAUGUUACCAAAAAAUUUGGAAUAUUAUAGACUACUUUGUAUUUGUUGUGCCUGGAUGAAUGCGUCAGAAUAACGGCCUAGAGUACAUGUUUAUUUACAAUCUUGAACAUGAUGGACAAUUUGUUGUUUACAGAAAUUGUAUUUAGGAUUUACUUUUUUUGAUUGUUAUAAUUGUCAUGGCAGUAUUUAUUAAUGUGGUCUGUAAUUUGUAAACAGACCGAGCCUGAAAGACUGUACUUGAAUAACAGCCCAGCCCGUUGACCAAGUGUGCCAGCUCUAAUGGAUAAUAGAUUUAUAACUCAGACUGUGCUGACUUGGGACUCAAAACAUUUUUGCUACUGUUGUACACUAGAUCUUGCUGCACUCGUUUAAGCGGUGUCUUCUCAUCAAAAUGAUCGCAUAUUUAUAUAUACAGUCAUUGUUUUUGUUCUCUUCCGGUGACGUCUUGUUGUCAGACACAGAGUGAAGAACAGCGUUUUGUUUGCUCUCGGAGUUCAUUGUAAACGCCUGCAGACUUUUCCAUCAAUCGUACUUUAAUAUUAUUUUCGAAUAAUAUUUUGUUUUUUGUUAUUCCCUGUAUGAAAAAUCACACUGAAUUUUGUAACAUACUCAUUUUUCUUAAGUAGAAAACUUCAAGUUUAUAAUAUUUUUAGUUAAUUCAAGCUACUGGCUUCUUAAAAGAAAUACCUUUAUCAUAUAAAACUGAGAUGUUUUUAAAAUCCCAACAGUAUAGUAAAUACUCCAAUAUUUUUAGUAUAUUACACGUACUCUGGAUUAUUGAUUUUAAAUCUUAGAAUAUUUCUUUAUUUAUCGGUUUGAUAUGGAUUUAAUUUACAUCAAGUUUGUUAUGUUAACAUACAAGGUCUAAAUUUAAAGUUUUUAUUAAUUUUGCUAAUAACUAAGUAGUUCAGUAAUGAAAUAAAUAAACUCUUUUAUUUUUAUUUUUAUUUUUUCAUGUGGAAAUCAAUUGGAGUUUAAUUUUAAUAGAUCAAUCAUUAUUAUAGAUCAUUUUUUAAAUUAUUUAUUUAUUUUAUACACAAUUAGUAAAUAAUUAAUAAAACACCAUUUGUGAAUCUUUAAAUUAGUUUUUAUAUGUCAUAAAAUUAAAAUGAAACGGGCUCUGUAAAAUCACAUACCUUAACUGAAUAACGUGUAUCAAUGCAUAAUUAAAUAAAAACUGUUUAUUUAGCUCUAGCACCAGUCAUAGCUGUAAUUUCUUUUAUAUUUUGCU